Eublepharis macularius is the source of this 5584-nucleotide RNA transcript. It is a transcript of the gene named mitochondrial import inner membrane translocase subunit TIM16-like, with no coding region annotated. The transcript is spliced from 29 exons. Lineage: Eukaryota; Metazoa; Chordata; Lepidosauria; Squamata; Eublepharidae. The record is from RefSeq and is a predicted model, not a curated record.
ACAGGGGACGCAGUAAUAGCCUUGAGCAUAGGGGCUUGCGCAAAGGGGGCUGAGACAGAUUCAUGGAUGGGCGACUAGUUUUGGUGAGUAAAGAGAACCUCCCCAACCAGAGACAGUAGACCUCUGAAUCCCAGUGCUGGGAGGCGGCAUCGGGGGAAGGCCUCGGCCUCUAUGCCCUGUUUAUUGGCCCUUCGGGGCAACUGGUUGGGUGCUGUGUGCAGCAGGAGGGUGGCUUCAAAGUACCGCCGGUCUGACUGACCCAGCAAGGCGCUUCUGAUAUUCGGACCGGAGGAGGACCGGCGUCGUUCCCAGCGUGCAUGUGCGGACGGUGACUCGGGGCUGCUUCUCACCUCUUCCAGGAUUGGGCGGGGAAUCGCCCAUGAAGGCAGCGGCAAAGCGCAGCCCUUCCGCGCAAGUCAGGCGCGCCGAAUCCAAAGGCGACCGGCCCCGAGAGCUUCGGCCCUGCCAGGAGCUCCGGCGAUCCCCGCUGGCCACACGAGCCCUCGGUCGGGAGCCCUCCAAGGAUCUGGACAGCGCCUCACGCGCUCGCAGGCAGGGCACGGGGGGCGUGGCCCCGGAGAGGCGGGGCUUUCCUUCCGGCAGCGGCGGCAGCGGCUUCGGCUCUGAGGCGGCCACAGCGAGCGGCGGGUUGAGCAUGAACCGGUUCAAAGUGUCCAAGUUCCGGCGCGCCGAGGCCAAAGCGGCCCGCAAGGAGGCCUGGAUCAGAGGCAUCUGUGGUAGCUCUCCUGCCACUUCCAGCAACCACAUCAAGACCAACUGCCGCUGGAUUGCAUUCAACACAGACUCUGCAGGUGUACUGGGCAUUGUGCCACUGGUGAGCCAGGAUGGGGGCGAGAGGGCUGUUUCUCAGCUGCGUUGUCACUCAGGUGUCGUGACAGAUUUUGACUUCUCUCCCUUUGAUGAGCAGGUGUUGGCCACGUGCUCCACCGAGGAAGUUGUAAAAGUUUGGCGUCUCCUUGAUUCCAGUCGAGAUCUCUCCUCUUCCCCCAGUGUGACCCUAGGACCAGAGGGCAGCCAGGUGGGCACGGUCCUCUUCCACCCCACAGCAGAUGCUAUCCUAGCCAGUGGGGCUCAGAGGACAGUGAAAGUUUGGGACGUGGAGCAGCAACAACCUCUGACAGAGCUGGAGCCUCACGAUGACCUGCUCCAGAGCCUGGCUUGGAGUCCGGAUGGUGGUCUCUUGGGAAGUUCCUGCAAGGAUAAAAAGCUGCGGAUCUUUGACCCUCGAGCUCAGCGUGCAGCCUGUCAGAGUGUCCUGGCUCACGAGAACGGCAGAGACUCCAGGCUGAUCUGGGUGAACUCUAGAGGCUGCCUCCUCUCUGUUGGGUUCAACCAGGUGCGAGAACGUGAGCUGCGGCUUUGGGACACGCGGGCCUUCACAUGCUCUCUGGCUUCUAUCACCCUAGACGCAUCCCCCAGGGCCUUGAUCCCACUCUGUGAUCUCGACACUGGUCUUCUGGUGCUGAUGGGGAAAGGAGAGGAUGUGCUUUUCUGCUAUGAGGUGCAGCCCAGCCAGCCAGCGCUGACGGAAGUCAACCAGUGUCGGACUGGGAGCAAGGCCCAUGGGAUCGCCCAGGUGCCCAAGCCAGCCCUGGAUGUCCUGGCGUGUGAAGUGAUGCGGGUCCUGCAGCUCACAGACAAUGCCAUUGUGCCCAUCAGCUACACGGUGCCUCGGAAGUCCACACAGGAGUUCCAUGAAGACUUGUUCCCCAGUUGCCCUGGAAUCAUCCCUGCGGCGUCUGCUCGAGCCUGGUGGGCAGGAGACAACAGCCAGGUUCAGAGGAUCAGCCUCCACCCUGCCCACAAACCCAGCCAAGCCUUUACCUCCACCUGUAUCCUGAGCUUCCGCCCAGAAGGUGAGGCCCCAGACACCACCCAGCUGGAGGAGCAAACCGAGGAUCUGGAAAUCAGUGCGGGCAGCAGCUUGUCCUCUCCCACCAGCUCCCUGACGUCCCCCUCAAGUGCGGCGGCGUCCCUCUCUGCCACCAGUGGCUUUGCCUCGAGUCCCAGUCAGAGGUCGCUGCAGAGCAUUUUGGGCCCCAGCUCCAGCUUCCGCCACAUCCAGGGCACCGUCUUGCACCGCAGCACCCACAUCACCAACCUCAAGGGGCUGAACCUCACCACACCGGGCGAAUGUGAUGGCUUCUGUGCUAACCGACGACACGUUGCCGUCCCGUUGCUGUCCGCAGGAGGGCAGGUGGCCAUCUUGGAGCUGUCCAAGCCAGGCCGCCUGCCUGAUGCUUCCUUGCCCGCCAUUGAGAACGGGGCCCCAGUCUCAGAUCUGUCCUGGGACCCCUUUGAUCUGGAGCGCUUGGCCAUUGCUGGCGAAGAUGCCAAGAUCCGCCUAUGGAGGGUCAAGCCAGAGGGAUUGCAGAAGAGCUUGCUAGAGCCUGAGACUGUGCUGCGAGGUCACACAGAGAAGAUUUACUCCAUCAAGUUCCACCCCCUUGCCACAGACAUCUUGGCCUCUUCCUCCUAUGACCUGAGUGUUCGGAUCUGGGAUGUGCACUCCGGAAGACAGGCACUACUUCUGAAUGGACACAGAGACCAGAUCUUCAGCCUGGCCUGGAGCCCAAAUGGACGCUUCCUGGCCACAGCCUGCAAGGAUGGCAAAGUGCGGGUCUAUGAGCCCCGGCAAGCUUCACAGCCGCUGCAGGAAGGCCCAGGCCCUGAGGGAGGUCGGGGGGCCCGCAUCAUCUGGGUGUGCGGAGGAAAAUACCUGCUUGUGUCAGGCUUUGAUGGCCACAGCGAGCGCCAGCUGUCUCUGUACCAGGCGGAGCUCCUGGCAGAUGGGCCUGUGGCUGUUGUCAGCCUUGAUGUCUCUCCCUCCACCCUCAUCCCCUUUUAUGAUGUGGAUACGGGUUUGGUCUUCCUCACAGGCAAGGGUGACACGCGAGUAUUCAUGUACGAAAUCAUCCCAGAGGCACCCUACUUUCUGGAAUGCAACAGCUUCUUCUCCAAUGAGCCCCACAAGGGCUUCCAGUUCCUGCCCAAAUCGGAGUGUGAUGUGCAUGAGGUCGAGAUUGCCCGGGCCCUGCGUCUCAGGCAGAGCUCCCUUGAGCCAAUAGCCUUCCGCGUACCCAGGAUUAAGAAAGAAUUCUUCCAGGAUGACCUUUACCCAGCCACAGAGGUAUGGUGGGAACCUGCCUUAUCUGCCACUGCCUGGCUGGGGGGCUCCGAUGGGCAACACCGCAAGAUCAGCCUUCAACCCAAAGCUAUGAUCCCGGUGAGCAAAGCCCCAAAGGACAUUCCCAGCAGAAAAUACAUCCCAUCCUCUGUCUACCUGGAAGAAAAGUCUGAUGAGCAGAAGAAAGAGGAGUUGCUCAAUGCUAUGGUGGCCAAGCUGGGCAACCGAGAGGACCCCCUCCCACAAGACUCCUUUGAAGGCGUGGAUGAAGAGGAGUGGGACUAACCAGGCAAGCUGCAAUGGAAACCACAAACUGCCUUUCCGCCUGGAAAACCCCCUACUCCCAUCCCCCACACUGGCCUUGCAGCUGGAGACUGACCCAGCUGCCGCUGAUGAACUGGACCUCGUCUCUGCUCAGUCGCUCUUUCAGCAGGAAAGCUAGAGGCCUGGCUUCCCCACCACCGUCCCUAGGGACUACGUGCUGCCUUCAGUGAUGCCAAGUUCCUGCCCCUCCAGGCUCUGCUUUGCUGCCAUGCUGGGCAGGGAUCCAGCCUGCUCACCACCAGGACAGCUGCUUGGGUACCUUGCUUCUGUCUUGGGUCACAGGUUUACAUGUAGGGCUAGCCUUAGCGAGGCUGCAGCUGGCCUGCCCCUCCCCCCAGCACUAUGCUGAGGAACUGUGGGGCUGUGUGUGGUCACUUCUCUUGUACCAACCCAGAGUGGGUCUGUUGGAAGGCUGAGCACAUGGCUGGAAGGCUGGGCUUCUUGGGCCUGAUGCCCCCUGCUCGCUCCCUCUCUGUUUGCUACCAUGCUCUGGCUGCAUGUGCCCCUGGGCCUGUCUCCUUAUGCCUGCAGGGCUGCCUCCCCCAACCAUGCCUUGGGCCCUGGGAAGCCUGCUGCCCUGCUUUGCUCAUUCAGCAGCAGAAGCAGCUCCUUUCUGGUCCACAGGGCUCUCACGGGGCAGCCAGCCUGGGAAAGGGCUCGUGUCUUGCUGCCUCCUUUUUGGCUGUUUCAGCAUAACUCUGUAUCUGGCAACAACAUGAACAAACUGCUCCCAGGCUCUCUCAGCUCUCUUGUGUCUCUUUUGUUUCAAGCACAAUCUUUGGUCAAGGGAAGCUUCCUCUGGCUUGACCAGCAGCACAGAAAGCCCCUCUCGUGACCCCUGCCUCACAAAGCCCACCCUGCCACCCUCCUCCAGGACCCCAGAGGUGCCUUGCCCACCAUGCCCACAUUGCCCCCUUCCAUGCCUUGAGGAGCCCCCCCAGAGCACACUGCCUGGGGCCGGCUUGCCAGCUUCCGCCCUGCCUCUGUCCAUUGCUGCAAAACUUUCCCCAUCACUGCUGCUCCACGCCAGGAAAAGCUUCACAUGCUUAAUUGCAGUUUGCCAAGGGCUUCAUAAGAUGCUCCUCCAUCAUGGAACAGGGCCCCCAGGAUCUGUCCACUGAGGGAGCUUUGGAGCACCACCGGCUUGUCCACUGGUAGCGCUGCCCAGGGUGGGAAAGCACAUCAUCCUGCUUACAAGCUCCAAAGCCGCCCUGGGGUGCAACCUGGCCCUCUGGAGAGCAGAGCCAAGGCACUCUCUGGAAGGUGAUGUGGCCCUAGUUCGGUGCGGUGGGGGGAGGGAUGAACUCUGCCCAGGCAGUGGGGGCUGACAACACACAUGAGCCAUGUACAUAGAAGGCAGGCAAGAGUCACCAGCACCACUACCCCCUUGGCUCCUGCAGCCAGAUAGAGCCAGCUGGGCCGGGAGGGGUCUGGCUUUGCAGGUGCCGUUGUGGUGUGUCCGCAAUCUGGUCCACUUGGGGGGGGGGGCUCUUUAUGGGGAGCAACGGCCCCAUUAGCGGCACUGACGUGAGUUAAUAGGAUUAGUGUCACGCUUGCCCAGAGCAGCCAUCCGUCGGAGCAGACCAGCCCCAUCGGACUGGGGGUGCCGUCUCCACCCCGCUCUGCCUGUUGUCCAGGGACAAACCCCGUUCGGUUGUACUGGGAGGUGGUCUUGCUCCACCGUGAGAGGCUACCUUUCCCACCGCCGGGAACCUUCCGAUCUCUACCGAAGACUGGCUCGCCCACUCCGCGACGGUUUCGAGCGAGGCUGCGGAGAGGUCGGCGCCGCCACGGAAGGAAGGGGGCGCGGCGGCUGCCCAAAGCGGCUCCGCAGACGGCGACCCGGCCCUGUGUGGGAGCGCCGCCGCCACAGAACUGCUUCCCGGCAGCCAGGGGGUGCUACUCGGCUUCGCGUCGCUCCCGGGCUACUUCCGGCCCCUCCGCUCUGCGCCGCCUCCAUGGUGUCCUCCGUACCCGGCUGCUACGCGUGCCUCCUCGGGCCCCAUCACUCGCUGGCUGGCUGAAGAUAUGCCAGCCAAGCUGCAGCAGGUGCCCGACAGCACUCAGGACCUCAGACUGCAGCAGCCUCCAGCAUCUCUGGGAUCAGCCUCC